This 275-nucleotide ribosomal RNA is filed under the name uncultured bacterium. RNAcentral describes it as "partial 16S ribosomal RNA". It matches the Rfam family "Bacterial small subunit ribosomal RNA", at positions 399 to 691 of the family's 1533-position model. The record is from RNAcentral.
GCGUGAGUGAAGAAGGCCUUAGGGUUGUAAAGCUCUUUCACCCGUGACGAUGAUGACGGUAGCGGGAGAAGAAGCCCCGGCCAACUCCGUGCCAGCAGCCGCGGUAAGACGGAGGGGGCUAGCGUUGUUCGGAAUUACUGGGCGUAAAGCGCACGUAGGCGGCGGAUCAAGUUGGGCGUGAAAGGCCCGGGCUCAACCCGGGAACGGCGCUCGAGACUGAUUGGCUGGAGUUCGGGAGAGGUGAGCGGAAUUCCCAGUGUAGAGGUGAAAUUCGU